Molecule: non-coding RNA, 73 nt
Organism: Podarcis lilfordi (Lilford's wall lizard)
Lineage: Eukaryota; Metazoa; Chordata; Lepidosauria; Squamata; Lacertidae
Source: the annotation of a GenBank genome assembly
GGUGGGGUAGCACAAUCAGUAGAGCAUGAGACUCUUCAUCUCAGAGUUGUGCGUUCGAGCCCCACUUUGGGCA